GACGAAGGGGGCUAGCGUUGUUCGGAGUUACUGGGCGUAAAGAGCGCGCAGGCGGUCGAUCAAGUCGAGUGUGAAAGCCCCCGGCUCAACUGGGGAGGGUCAUUCGAUACUGAUCGACUCGAAGGCAGGAGAGGGUAGUGGAAUUCCCGGUGUAGUGGUGAAAUGCGUAGAUAUCGGGAGGAACACCAGUGGCGAAGGCGACUACCUGGCCUGUUCUUGACGCUGAGGCGCGAAAGCUAGGGGAGCAAACGGG
This 253-nucleotide ribosomal RNA is filed under the name uncultured bacterium. RNAcentral's name for it is "partial 16S ribosomal RNA". It matches the Rfam family "Bacterial small subunit ribosomal RNA", at positions 524 to 776 of the family's 1533-position model. The record is from RNAcentral.